UGGGCUUUAAUUUAAUAAAAGUGUCUGAUUUGCAGUCAGAAGAUGUAGGUUGAAAUCUUACAAGUCCUA
This 69-nucleotide transfer RNA is filed under the name Hampala macrolepidota (Hampala barb). RNAcentral describes it as "tRNA-Ala". It matches the Rfam family "tRNA". Rfam says of the family: Transfer RNA (tRNA) molecules are approximately 80 nucleotides in length. Their secondary structure includes four short double-helical elements and three loops (D, anti-codon, and T loops). The record is from RNAcentral. Lineage: Eukaryota; Metazoa; Chordata; Actinopteri; Cypriniformes; Cyprinidae.